This 396-nucleotide ribosomal RNA is filed under the name uncultured bacterium. Its description in RNAcentral is "partial 16S ribosomal RNA". It matches the Rfam family "Bacterial small subunit ribosomal RNA", at positions 523 to 918 of the family's 1533-position model. The record is from RNAcentral.
AUACGUAGGGAGCGAGCGUUGUCCGGAAUUACUGGGUGUAAAGGGUGCGUAGGCGGGACUGCAAGUCAGAUGUGAAAUGCCGGGGCUCAACCCCGGAGCUGCAUUUGAAACUGUGGUUCUUGAGUGAGGUAGAGGUAAGCGGAAUUCCUAGUGUAGCGGUGAAAUGCGUAGAUAUUAGGAGGAACAUCGGUGGCGAAGGCGGCUUACUGGGCCUUUACUGACGCUGAGGCACGAAAGCGUGGGGAGCAAACAGGAUUAGAUACCCUGGUAGUCCACGCUGUAAACGAUGAUUACUAGGUGUGGGGGGACUGACCCCUUCCGUGCCGCAGUUAACACAAUAAGUAAUCCACCUGGGGAGUACGGCCGCAAGGUUGAAACUCAAAUGAAUUGGCGGGG